ACAAGAACAACAAUAAGCAAUGACACACUCUAAUAAAAACAAGAUGACACGGCUCACGCAUAACAAGAACAACACGGCGGAGGCGCAGCUAACUGAUUCUUUUGGAGAGGCGUUGUAAUUGGGGCUAGCCCCACACCCAGGCAAAGACCAAUAAAAACUGCACUGAAAAGCAGAACGGCAUGGGAUGAAAGCAACUCAGCGACCAAAGCAAUCCGUUUGCUCUUGCUCCCGGUUAGGGAGCAGCCCACUGGCGAAGGCCACGCGGGCAGGGCGUUAACAAAAACAAGAAGCCCGAACAAAAAAACAAGAAGAGCAUGCAACUACAUUCCUUGGGGAGCUUCGGCUCCCCUUGUAGUUUCCACGUUUCGUCCCCCUCGUUGCG
RNAcentral lists this small RNA (382 nucleotides) under Pseudomonas sp. M47T1. RNAcentral's name for it is "Pseudomonas sRNA CrcZ". It matches the Rfam family "Pseudomonas sRNA CrcZ". The record is from Rfam by way of RNAcentral. Lineage: Bacteria; Pseudomonadati; Pseudomonadota; Gammaproteobacteria; Pseudomonadales; Pseudomonadaceae.